Molecule: non-coding RNA, 115 nt
Organism: Triticum aestivum (bread wheat)
Lineage: Eukaryota; Viridiplantae; Streptophyta; Magnoliopsida; Poales; Poaceae
Source: Rfam
AUUAUACUCCCUCCAUUCGGAAUUACUUGUCACAAAAAUAGAUGUAUCUACAACUAAAAUACAUCUAGAUACAUUUACUUCUUGGACGAGUAAUUCCGAACGGAGGGAGUACAAU